This 232-nucleotide unclassified non-coding RNA is filed under the name Hevea brasiliensis (rubber tree). Lineage: Eukaryota; Viridiplantae; Streptophyta; Magnoliopsida; Malpighiales; Euphorbiaceae. The record is from RNAcentral.
UCAAUAGGGUUUAGUUUGUUUAUUGUCCCUCUUAAGCUGAACUUUCAAUUUCUUACCACCUAAUUGGAAUCCAUUCAUCAUGUUAAUAGCAUUUUGUGCAGCUGCUGGUGAGUCAUAACUAACAAAACCAAAACAUUUGCUAACACCAGUUGCUUUAUCGACAAAGACCUUAGCACUCAAGACUUUACCAAAUUGCUGAAAAGCAUUGGCAAGCUCUUGGUCACCAAAUUCU